RNAcentral lists this transfer RNA (80 nucleotides) under Laccaria bicolor S238N-H82. Its description in RNAcentral is "tRNA-Leu (TAG) (tRNA-Leu-TAG-1-1)". It matches the Rfam family "tRNA". Rfam says of the family: Transfer RNA (tRNA) molecules are approximately 80 nucleotides in length. Their secondary structure includes four short double-helical elements and three loops (D, anti-codon, and T loops). Further hydrogen bonds mediate the characteristic L-shaped molecular structure. tRNAs have two regions of fundamental functional importance: the anti-codon, which is responsible for specific mRNA codon recognition, and the 3' end, to which the tRNAs corresponding amino acid is attached (by aminoacyl-tRNA synthetases). tRNAs cope with the degeneracy of the genetic code in two manners: having more than one tRNA (with a specific anti-codon) for a particular amino acid; and 'wobble' base-pairing, i.e. permitting non-standard base-pairing at the 3rd anti-codon position. The record is from RNAcentral. Lineage: Eukaryota; Fungi; Basidiomycota; Agaricomycetes; Agaricales; Hydnangiaceae.
GGCAACAUGGCCGAGUGGUCUAAGGCGCUGGAAUUAGGAUCCAGUCUUUCGAGGCGAGGGUUCGAAUCCCUCUGUUGUCA